GACGAACGCUGGCGGCGUGCUUAACACAUGCAAGUCGAACGGAAAGGCCCUGCUUUUGUGGGGUUCUCGAGUGGCGAACGGGUGAGUAACACGUGAGUAACCUGCCCUUGACUUUGGGAUAACUUCAGGAAACUGGGGCUAAUACCGGAUAGGAGCUCCUGCUGCAUGGUGGGGGUUGGAAAGUUUCGGCGGUUGGGGAUGGACUCGCGGCUUAUCAGCUUGAUGGUGGGGUAGUGGCUUACCAAGGCUUCGACGGGUAGCCGGCCUGAGAGGGUGACCGGCCACAUUGGGACUGAGAUACGGCCCAGACUCCUACGGGCGGCAGCAGUGGGGAAUAUUGCACAAUGGGCGGAAGCCUGAUGCAGCAACGCCGCGUGCGGGAUGACGGCCUUCGGGUUGUAAACCGCUUUCGCCUGUGACGAAGCGUGAGUGACGGUAAUGGGUAAAGAAGCACCGGCUAACUACGUG
This 468-nucleotide ribosomal RNA is filed under the name uncultured bacterium. RNAcentral's name for it is "partial 16S ribosomal RNA". It matches the Rfam family "Bacterial small subunit ribosomal RNA", at positions 28 to 507 of the family's 1533-position model. The record is from RNAcentral.